GGGCAUUGCUAGGGGUCUCCAACACAUUGUUUUGGAGUGAGAUACACCCUUUGAACCUGAUGCGGGUUAUGCCGCCGUAGGGAAGCUAGUCCACCGCUUC
This 100-nucleotide non-coding RNA is filed under the name Candidatus Methylopumilus turicensis. RNAcentral describes it as "TPP riboswitch aptamer (THI element)". It matches the Rfam family "TPP riboswitch aptamer (THI element)". From Rfam's summary of the family: Vitamin B(1) in its active form thiamin pyrophosphate (TPP) is an essential coenzyme that is synthesised by coupling of pyrimidine and thiazole moieties in bacteria. The previously detected thiamin-regulatory element, thi box was extended, resulting in a new, highly conserved RNA secondary structure, the THI element, which is widely distributed in eubacteria and also occurs in some archaea. RNAcentral also lists the same sequence under 1 other name. Lineage: Bacteria; Pseudomonadati; Pseudomonadota; Betaproteobacteria; Nitrosomonadales; Methylophilaceae. The record is from Rfam by way of RNAcentral.